Molecule: ribosomal RNA, 645 nt
Filed under: uncultured bacterium
Lineage: Bacteria
Description: bacterial SSU rRNA
Rfam family: Bacterial small subunit ribosomal RNA
Source: RNAcentral
AGAGUUUGAUCCUGGCUCAGAUUGAACGCUGGCGGCGUGCUUAACACAUGCAAGUCGAACGUGAAAGUCCUUCGGGGCGAGUAAAGUGGCGCACGGGUGAGUAACGCGUGGAUAAUCUACCCUUAAGAUGGGGAUAACGGCUGGAAACGGUCGCUAAUACCGAAUACGCUCCCGAUUUUAUCAUUGGGGGGAAAGAUGGCCUCUGCUUGCAAGCUAUCGCUUAAGGAUGAGUCCGCGUCCCAUUAGCUAGUUGGCGGGGUAACGGCCCACCAAGGCAACGAUGGGUAGCCGGUCUGAGAGGAUGACCGGCCACACUGGAACUGGAACACGGUCCAGACUCCUACGGGAGGCAGCAGUGGGGAAUAUUGCGCAAUGGGCGAAAGCCUGGCGCAGCGACGCCGCGUGAGGGAUGAAGGUUCUCGGAUCGUAAACCUCUGUCAGGGGGGAAGAAACCCCCUCGUGUGAAUAAUGCGAGGGCUUGACGGUACCCCCAAAGGAAGCACCGGCUAACUCCGUGCCAGCAGCCGCGGUAAUACGGAGGGUGCAAGCGUUAAUCGGAAUCACUGGGCGUAAAGCGCACGUAGGCGGCUUGGUAAGUCAGGGGUGAAAUCCCACAGCCCAACUGUGGAACUGCCUUUGAUACUG